AAAAACAUCGCCUCUUGUAAACUAACAAAUAAGAGGUCCUGCCUGCCCCGUGACCAUGUGUUUAACGGCCGCGGUAUUUUGACCGUGCAAAGGUAGCGCAAUCAUUUGUCUUUUAAAUUUAGACCCGUAUGAAUGGCAAAACGAGGGCUUAACUGUCUCCUUUUUCAAGUCAAUGACAUUGAUCUUCCCGUGCAGAAGCGGGAAUUUCUCCAUAAGACGAGAAGACCCUGUGGAGCUUUAGACACCAGAACAGAUCACGUCAAAACCCCCUAAUAAAGGACUGAACUAACCGAACCCUGUUCCAAUGUCUUCGGUUGGGGUGACCACGGUGGAACUACAAAACCCCCGCGUGGAAUGAGAGCACUUCCUGCUCCCACAAUUAAGAGCCCCCGCUCUAAUAAACAGAAUUUCUGACCAACAAGAUCCGGCAACGCCGAUCAACGAACCAAGUUACCCCAGGGAUAACAGCGCAAUCCUCUUUCAGAGCCCAUAUCGACAAGAGGGUUUACGACCUCGAUGUUGGAUCAGGACAUCCUAAUGGUGCAGCCGCUAUUAAGGGUUCGUUUGUUCAACGAUUAAAGUCCUACGUGAUCUGA
Molecule: ribosomal RNA, 596 nt
Filed under: Pennahia macrocephala
Lineage: Eukaryota; Metazoa; Chordata; Actinopteri; Sciaenidae
Description: partial 16S ribosomal RNA
Rfam family: Bacterial large subunit ribosomal RNA
Source: RNAcentral